GUACACUCCUACGGGAGGCAGCAGUGGGGAAUAUUGCACAAUGGGCGCAAGCCUGAUGCAGCCAUGCCGCGUGUAUGAAGAAGGCCUUCGGGUUGUAAAGUACUUUCAGCGGGGAGGAAGGCGAUAAGGUUAAUAACCUUGUCGAUUGACGUUACCCGCAGAAGAAGCACCGGCUAACUCCGUGCCAGCAGCCGCGGUAAUACGGAGGGUGCAAGCGUUAAUCGGAAUUACUGGGCGUAAAGCGCACGCAGGCGGUCUGUCAAGUCGGAUGUGAAAUCCCCGGGCUCAACCUGGGAACUGCAUUCGAAACUGGCAGGCUAGAGUCUUGUAGAGGGGGGUAGAAUUCCAGGUGUAGCGGUGAAAUGCGUAGAGAUCUGGAGGAAUACCGGUGGCGAAGGCGGCCCCCUGGACAAAGACUGACGCUCAGGUGCGAAAGCGUGGGGAGCAAACAGGAUUAGAAACCCGAGUAGUCCCAUGAU
Molecule: ribosomal RNA, 479 nt
Filed under: uncultured organism
Description: partial 16S ribosomal RNA
Rfam family: Bacterial small subunit ribosomal RNA
Source: RNAcentral